UUUUGGACAAUGGGCGCAAGCCUGAUCCAGCCAUGCCGCGUGAGUGAAGAAGGCCUUCGGGUUGUAAAGCUCUUUCGGCAGGAACGAAAUGGUACGUGCUAAUACCACGGACUGAUGACGGUACCUGAAGAAGAAGCACCGGCUAACUACGUGCCAGCAGCCGCGGUAAUACGUAGGGUGCAGGCGUUAAUCGGAAUUACUGGGCGUAAAGCGUGCGCAGGCGGUUUCUUAAGUCAGAUGUGAAAGCCCCGGGCUUAACCUGGGAACUGCGUUUGAAACUGGGAGACUUGAGUGUGGCAGAGGGGGGUGGAAUUCCACGUGUAGCAGUGAAAUGCGUAGAUAUGUGGAGGAACACCGAUGGCGAAGGCAGCCCCCUGGGCAUGACACUGACGCUCAUGCACGAGG
Molecule: ribosomal RNA, 405 nt
Filed under: uncultured bacterium
Lineage: Bacteria
Description: bacterial SSU rRNA
Rfam family: Bacterial small subunit ribosomal RNA
Source: RNAcentral